RNAcentral lists this long non-coding RNA (1254 nucleotides) under Heterocephalus glaber (naked mole-rat). RNAcentral's name for it is "lncRNA (ENSHGLG00100046843.1)". Lineage: Eukaryota; Metazoa; Chordata; Mammalia; Rodentia; Bathyergidae. The record is from RNAcentral.
CAUCUUUGCUGUAUACCUAUUUUUGUGGCUUUUCAGCUGCCACCUAUUUGCUGAUGGUUCCCAAAUUCGUAUCUCCAGUCAACCUCUCUCCAGAGCUUCUGACCUAUAUUUCCAGUUGGCCUCUUCAUGUGAAUGCUGUCUAAACCGAAUAUAUCCCAAUCUGAAUUCCCCAUCUGUCUCAGUGCUUGUUUCUUGUCUUUUAACUGCUGUGGUACAGGGGAAUGAACCCAGGGCUUCACACAUGCCGGGUAAGCUCUACCGCUGAGUUACAUCCCCAGCUCUUUUUACUUUUAGUUCGAGACAGUCUUGCUAAGUUGCCCAGGCUGGCCUUGAAAUUCUUGAUCCUCCUGCCUCAUCCUCUCAAGUAGCUGGGAUUGCAGAUGUGUAGCACCACACCCAGAUGUACUUCUGGUUUUUCUAAAUCUAACAAUGCUACACCAGGGUGGUAGUAUUAAGAGGCAGGGUCUUUAAGAGCUUAUAAGGCCAUGACGGCUUGUCCCUGCUUAAAGGAUUAAGCUUGUAAAUAAGUCUCCGUGGAGCAUUUGGCCAGCCUGCCCUUGUACCCUUCUGCCAUGCCAGGACACAGCAUCCUGCCUUCUGGGUGAUGCAGCAAAAAGACCUUCAUCAGAUGCAGCACCUGAUCUUGGACUUCAUAAGCUCUACAACUGGAUUGAACUCGGGUCCUUGCACUUGUGAGGCAGGCGCUGGAACCACUGAGCCAAAUCCCUGGCCCCAAGUAUUUCAUCCUUUGUCAUUAAGGUCUCCCUCAGGCUGACCCACAACACACUAUGUACCCCAGGCUGGCCUUGAACUCUCGGUGAUCCAACUGCCUCAGCCUCCUGUGUGCUGGGAUUACAGGCAUGCACCACCAGGCCUGGCUCGAUUGAUUGAUUUUUUUUUUUAGGUACUAGGAUAGAACUCAGGACCUUGCUCUUGCCAGGUGAGUGCAGCUGAGCCACAUCCCUGGCCCAGAUUGAUUGAUCUUUGAAUGUAAACCAAUUUUGAAUUUCCAGGGUAAACUCUACUUACUCACUAUUUAUUAUUCAUUUUAUUUAUCAUUGUAUGCAAUCUGCUAAACAUUUUUAAAGCACUUUUGAAUCUAUGGUCAUGAACAAAAAGGUCUAUAAUUUUUUUUUUUUUUGCUUGCACCAUUUUAAACAUUGAGAACAUGAGAUUGUGAUGUGGGUUUCUGUGAUGAAACAUUUUUAUGUAUUUAUUUAUUUAUUUUCUUAUUUUCUUGUUUUUAAAAUGGUC